Heterocephalus glaber (naked mole-rat) is the source of this 741-nucleotide long non-coding RNA. RefSeq lists it as uncharacterized. The record is from RefSeq and is a predicted model, not a curated record. NCBI's taxonomy places the organism in Eukaryota, Metazoa, Chordata, Mammalia, Rodentia, Bathyergidae.
UUCCUAACAGGGAGAAAGAGUUGAAAACCAAGGCCUUGCAGUGGAGGGAGGUUGGGAAGAGAGCUCUAACAAGGGGUUAAACCCCAAGGAGCACCUGGAGGAGAAAUUUUUUAAGGGAGACGAAUUGAACUGCAUCAACCCAAACUUUCAUAUUUGAAAAUUGUUCCUUGCUCAUUUAUGGUUCAAACUAGUAUCAGACAUCAUUUCCAUCCUAUACUUCAGACAUUUCUCAGGACAUGGCACCACUACCAGUGAUCAGUUGGAUAUACGUCUUAGGAAUUCCCUUGAUAAAAGCCUUGAAGAAGUGAGACUCUUCUUCUAAAUGAUCCACUAUUAAACAGUAAGAUACAAUUUGAGAAAGUCUUCAUCCAUGUUCCAACAAGCCCCCCAGAUGAUUCCAAAGAGAACCACCACCAGCGGGAACCACUGUGUGAAGCAGUCUCCCCAUUUUAUAGCAUUAUCUUUCCAGGCCCUAUUUGCACUUGCCUUGGAUCUGCAGCCUUUCCAAAAGUUGGGAAAAUCUUGCAAAGAAGAAAUACGGCAUCUGAUUCUGAGAAUUUCACUCCCUCUACACUCUUCCAGCUGCUGCACAUACAUGUGCUGCUUGAGUUUAUUUAAUAAGAAAGCUCAAAAUGUUUCCCAGUUCAGAACAUAACCCCACAUGCUCUUCUCUGUAGCCUAACCAGGAAUCCCAUUCUCCUCCUCCUCUAACUCAAUAAACCAAAUCUAAUUGGAAAAUAA